AGAGGGUUAGUCCAAAGCAAGACCUCUGAUUUCGGCUCAGACAAUUGUGGUCCAAAUCCACACCCCUCUU
This 70-nucleotide transfer RNA is filed under the name Hepsetus odoe (African pike characin). RNAcentral's name for it is "tRNA-Arg". It matches the Rfam family "tRNA". From Rfam's summary of the family: Transfer RNA (tRNA) molecules are approximately 80 nucleotides in length. Their secondary structure includes four short double-helical elements and three loops (D, anti-codon, and T loops). Lineage: Eukaryota; Metazoa; Chordata; Actinopteri; Characiformes; Hepsetidae. The record is from RNAcentral.